Molecule: ribosomal RNA, 497 nt
Filed under: uncultured Glomus
Lineage: Eukaryota; Fungi; Glomeromycota; Glomeromycetes; Glomerales; Glomeraceae
Description: SSU rRNA
Rfam family: Eukaryotic small subunit ribosomal RNA
Source: RNAcentral
CCAAUAGCGUAUAUUAAAGUUGUUGCAGUUAAAAAGCUCGUAGUUGAAUUUCGGGAUCAUCAGGUCGGUCGUGCCUCCGGUAUGUACUGGUCUCGGUGGUUCCUCCUUCUUGUAGAACCGUAAUGCCAUUAAUUUGGUGUUGCGGGAAAACAGGACUGUUACUUUGAAAAAAUUAGAGUGUUUAAAGCAGGCGAUCGCUUGAAUACAUUAGCAUGGAAUAAUGAAAUAGGACGUUCGAUCCUAUUUUGUUGGUUUCUAGGAUUGACGUAAUGAUUAAUAGGGAUAGUUGGGGGCAUUAGUAUUCAAUUGUCAGAGGUGAAAUUCUUGGAUUUAUUGAAGACUAACUACUGCGAAAGCAUUUGCCAAGGAUGUUUUCAUUAAUCAAGAACGAAAGUUAGGGGCUCGAAGACGAUCAGAUACCGUCCUAGUCUCAACCAUAAACGAUGCCGACCAGGGAUCGGCGGAUGUUGCUUUUAGGACUCCGCCGGCACCUUAUG